Molecule: long non-coding RNA, 560 nt
Filed under: Lonchura striata (white-rumped munia)
Lineage: Eukaryota; Metazoa; Chordata; Aves; Passeriformes; Estrildidae
Description: domestica (Bengalese finch) lncRNA (ENSLSDG00000017803.1)
Source: RNAcentral
GAAAGUUCUGGAGUGUCGCAGCUCAGCCAAGACUCACUCACCAAAGGGAAGGGCUGACCUUGCAAAGGCUGUCCCUGCAGUGCCCACCCCACCAGGCUGCUGGCACUGCCCUCUGGGCUGCUGCUACGGGAGUUUCUAUUUCAGGCAUUGCUUUAAGCAGUACAGGUGAGGGGCAGCACAUUCCCAGUCCAAAAUAGAAUGGCUUAAAUUAUUAAUAUGCACUUGCACCACGGGCCAGCAUGCUCUCCCUGAAUUGUAUGCCUCAUGCCCUUCCUUCCUCUCCCCAUCCUGAAAGCAGCCUGGUGCUGUGGAGUUUGUGGAAAUGUAACACCAGCUGCCACCUGAAUUUUGCUGGACCUGAUGAACAGUAAGCAGCUCCAGGUGUCAACUGAGCAAAGUCCAGAUCAGCUGCAGUUAUUCCAGAGUAUGCGUCCACAUGCAGAAUAUUCCAGAACAGGUAUUUCACUUUAAAUUCAUGCCCCAUCUUAUUCCAGAAUAUUUUCCCUGCAUGAAGAAGCACUUGGCUGGGGUCUCUGCUUGCUGCUGUACUAGUGAUAAGA